Molecule: ribosomal RNA, 409 nt
Filed under: uncultured Nitrososphaerota archaeon
Lineage: Archaea; Thermoproteati; Nitrososphaerota
Description: bacterial SSU rRNA
Rfam family: Archaeal small subunit ribosomal RNA
Source: RNAcentral
CUGGUGUCAGCCGCCGCGGUAAUACCAGCACCCCGAGUGGUCGGGACGAUUAUUGGGCCUAAAGCAUCCGUAGCCGGUCAUGCAAGUCUUCCGUUAAAUCCAGCCGCUCAACGGUUGGGCUGCGGAGGAUACUACGUGGCUAGGAGGCGGGAGAGGCAAGCGGUACUCAGUGGGUAGGGGUAAAAUCCUUUGAUCCAUUGAAGACCACCAGUGGCGAAGGCGGCUUGCCAGAACGCGCUCGACGGUGAGGGAUGAAGGCUGGGGGAGCAAACCGGAUUAGAUACCCGGGUAGUCCCAGCUGUAAACGAUGCAGACUCGGUGAUGGGAUGGCCUCGAGCUAUCCCAGUGCCGCAGGGAAGCCGUUAAGUCUGCCGCCUGGGGAGUACGGUCGCAAGACUGAAACUUAAAG